GUGCUCGCUUCGGCAUCACAUAUACUAAAAUUGGAACGAUGCAGAGAAGAUUAGCUGGCUCCUGUGCAAGGAUGACAUGCAAAUUUGUGAAGUGUUCCAUAUUUUU
Molecule: small nuclear RNA, 106 nt
Filed under: Bison bison bison
Lineage: Eukaryota; Metazoa; Chordata; Mammalia; Artiodactyla; Bovidae
Source: RNAcentral